CAGAGAAUAGUUUAAUUAAAAUUUUAAUUUUGGAGAUUAAAGAUAAAGAAAUUUCUUUUUCUCUGA
This 66-nucleotide transfer RNA is filed under the name Rhizophagus dispar. RNAcentral's name for it is "tRNA-Pro". The record is from RNAcentral. Lineage: Eukaryota; Metazoa; Arthropoda; Insecta; Coleoptera; Monotomidae.